This 402-nucleotide ribosomal RNA is filed under the name Cercozoa sp. RNAcentral describes it as "partial small subunit ribosomal RNA". It matches the Rfam family "Eukaryotic small subunit ribosomal RNA", at positions 582 to 975 of the family's 1831-position model. The record is from RNAcentral. Lineage: Eukaryota; Cercozoa.
AUUCCAGCUCCAAUAGCGUAUAUUAAAGUUGUUGCAGUUAAAAAGCUCGUAGUUGGAUUUCUGGUUCAGAGGGCUUGGCCCAUGGCCAAUUCUAGGUUCAUGAGUGCCGAUGCUUUCGUACCAUCCUUCCGGUGAUGAUUCAGGUCCCCUUCAUUGGGUCAGCCUGGUUGUUCCGGAUCUUUUACUUUGAAAAAAUUAGAGUGUUUAAAGCAAGCUGUGUGUUGAAUACAUUAGCAUGGAAUAAUAAUCUAGGACUUUGGUUCUAUUUUGUUGGUUUCUAGCGCCAAAGUAAUGAUUGAUAGGGAUAGUUGGGGGUGCUAGUAUUUACCGGCCAGAGGUGAAAUUCUUGGAUUCGGUAAAGACUAACUUAUGCGAAAGCAUUCACCAAGGAUGUCUUCAUCG